UACGAAGGGGGCUAGCGUUGCUCGGAUUGACUGGGCGUAAAGGGCGCGUAGGCGGCCUGGCAAGUGGAAGGUGAAAUCCCUCGGCUUAACCGAGGAACUGCCCUCCAAACUGCUUGGCUUGAGUCCGGGAGAGGUGAGUGGAAUUCCCAGUGUAGCGGUGAAAUGCGUAGAUAUUGGGAGGAACACCAGUGGCGAAGGCGGCUCACUGGACCGGAACUGACGCUGAGGCGCGAAAGCGUGGGGAGCAAACGGG
This 253-nucleotide ribosomal RNA is filed under the name uncultured bacterium. RNAcentral describes it as "partial 16S ribosomal RNA". It matches the Rfam family "Bacterial small subunit ribosomal RNA", at positions 524 to 776 of the family's 1533-position model. The record is from RNAcentral.